This is an unclassified non-coding RNA of Pongo abelii (Sumatran orangutan), 147 nucleotides long. It matches the Rfam family "Metazoan signal recognition particle RNA". From Rfam's summary of the family: The signal recognition particle (SRP) is a universally conserved ribonucleoprotein. The record is from Ensembl. NCBI's taxonomy places the organism in Eukaryota, Metazoa, Chordata, Mammalia, Primates, Hominidae.
GCCGGGCGUGGUGGCGGGCGCCUGUAAUCCCAGCUACUAGGGAGGCUGAGGCAGGAGAAUCGCUUGAACCUGGGAGGUGGAGGUUGCAGUGAGCCGAGAUCGCGCACUGCACUCCAGCCUGGGUAACAGAGCCAGACCCUGUCUCAA